Long non-coding RNA from Galeopterus variegatus (Sunda flying lemur), 577 nucleotides. RefSeq lists it as uncharacterized. The transcript is spliced from 4 exons. The record is from RefSeq and is a predicted model, not a curated record. NCBI's taxonomy places the organism in Eukaryota, Metazoa, Chordata, Mammalia, Dermoptera, Cynocephalidae.
GAGGGGUAGCCCCGGUAUUGGCGGAGACGUCCCACUUGAGUGAGCGCGGUACAGCUGGGUGAGGGGACGCGACUGGACCCGAGGUCUGGCAGGCAGUGCGUGGCGGUGAUAACGAAUACGUGAGCCGGUGGCUCCAGGACUCUCCUCAAAGCCAAGGUCGGCGCCCGGACCUUAAACGCUCAGCCUAACGCUCCGGACUUGCUGCACAAGCGCCCUCUCACAGGCUCUGAAGAACUGCGUUUUCUGGCAGCGUGAGCGCAGCUACCGCUCGCUGCCUGUUGGGAAAUGUAGCUUUUCACUCGAUGGGCCGGUCUUCCAACGCCGCCAGAACUACAUUUCCCAGAAGGCCCCUCGGACAUACGUCUCCCACAUCUCUCACUUCCGCACUGGCCCAAGGCCCUCCCAUGGACUGGUGGUCUGGAGACCUGGCAGAGUCGGCCAAGCCCUUCAUGGAUGGAGCUCAGCCCUUCAAUUCCUGACUUCUGCAUUUGGUCUGACAGCUUAUUGUGUAUGGUGCCAACCUGGAUCCUUGGCGAGGCUGAUCGCAACCCUCAGUGUCGCGCCCGUACCGGACUGG